AUGGCGACCGCGGCGGCGGCGGCGUCGCUCCGGUACUUCCCCUCUUCCAUCAGGAACCGCAGCUAUCCCGGAACUAUCGGCGGCGGCGCUGUGGUCACGUUUUCUCCACGGCGGGGCCGCUGUGCGACGGCGGCCGUGGCCGCGCCUUCGCGGGAGGCGGAGCCGGCCUCCUCGCUCGGGGACCUCACCCGCGUAGACUUCCCCAUCCUGGACCAGGAAUUUGAUGGUAACAAAUUAGUUUACUUCGACAAUGGUUCAACAUCACAGAAACCCUCUCAUGUGAUGAAAGCCUUAGACGACUACUACCGAUUUUAUAAUUCGAAUGUUCACCGUGGCAUUCAUGCUCUCAGCGCAAAGGCUACUGAUGCAUAUGAGAGUGCAAGAAGGAAAGUUGCAAAUUUCGUCAAUGCGGCUGAUAGUAGAGAGAUUAUUUUUACUCGUAAUGCUACAGAAGCUAUCAAUUUAGUAGCUUAUUCGUGGGGCCUAUCUAACUUAAAACAAGGAGAUGAGAUUAUUCUUACAGUUGCGGAGCAUCAUAGUGCGAUUGUUCCUUGGCAAUUUGUAUCCCAAAAAACUGGUGCUGUCCUAAAGUAUGUUGGGCUGACUAAAGAAGAGGUUCCAGACAUUGAGCAGUUAAAAGGGCUUCUGUCAAGCAAGACAAAGAUUGUUGUUGUCCAUCAUGUUUCAAACGUCCUGGGUUCAAUGCUUCCUAUUGAGGAGGUCGUAUCAUGUGCAAACAAAGUUGGAGCUAAAGUUCUUGUAGAUGCUUGUCAAAGUGUUCCUCAUAUGCCUGUUGAUGUUCAGAAGCUUGGUGCAGAUUUUCUUGUUGCAUCCUCGCAUAAGAUGUGUGGCCCUACAGGCGUCGGAUUCUUGCAUGGAAAAUUUGAGAUCUUGUCGUCUAUGGAGCCUUUCUUAGGUGGUGGUGAAAUGAUUGCAGAUGUGUUCGAAGACAAAUCUACAUAUGCUGAGCCGCCUUCUAGAUUUGAGGCUGGAACUCCUGCAAUUGGAGAGGCUAUAGGAUUGGGAGUUGCGAUAGAUUAUCUGUCACACUUUGGCAUGCAGAGGAUCCACGAGUAUGAGAAAGAGUUGGGGUCGUACCUUUAUGAGAGCCUUCUCUCUGUUCCAAAUGUUCGUAUCUAUGGCCCGGCGCCUUCUGCAAGUGAUCACCGUGCUCCUUUAUGUUCUUUCAAUGUUGAGAAUGUUCAUCCAACAGAUAUUGCUGAAAUUCUUGAUCUCCAGCAUGGCGUAGCGAUUCGGUCAGGGCAUCAUUGUGCACAGAUUUUGCAUCGCACCCUUGGUAUCAAUGCGAGCGCCCGUGCCAGUCUUCACUUCUACAACACAAAAGAGGAGGUGGAUGCCUUCAUCCAUGGGCUAAAAGCUACCAUUGAUUUCCUUACUUCCCACCACUAG
RNAcentral lists this ribosomal RNA (1410 nucleotides) under Triticum aestivum (bread wheat). RNAcentral's name for it is "partial small subunit ribosomal RNA". Lineage: Eukaryota; Viridiplantae; Streptophyta; Magnoliopsida; Poales; Poaceae. The record is from RNAcentral.